AUUGAACGCUGGCGGCGUGCCUAAUACAUGCAAGUCGAGCGCAGGAAGCUGACGGAACUCUUCGGAGGGAAGGCAGUGGAAUGAGCGGCGGACGGGUGAGUAACACGUAAGGAACCUGCCUCAAGGAUUGGGAUAACUCCGAGAAAUCGGAGCUAAUACCGGAUAGUUCAACGGACCGCAUGGCCAGCUGACGAGAGGGUCUUCGGCGUCACCUUGAGAUGGACUUGCGGUGAAUUAGCUAGUUGGUGGGGUAACGGCCCACCAAGGCGACGAUGCAUAGCCGACCUGAGAGGGUGAUCGGCAACACUGGGACUGAGACACGGCCCAGACUCCUACGGGAGGCAGCAGUAGGGAAUCUUCCACAAUGGACGAAAGUCUGAUGGAGCAACGCCGCGUGAGUGAUGAAGGUUUUCGGAUCGUAAAACUCUGUUGUAAGGGAAGAACACGUACGAGAGGGAAUGCUCGUACCUUGACGGUACCUUACGAGAAAGCCACGGCUAACUACGUGCCAGCAGCCGCCGUAA
This 524-nucleotide ribosomal RNA is filed under the name uncultured bacterium. Its description in RNAcentral is "partial 16S ribosomal RNA". It matches the Rfam family "Bacterial small subunit ribosomal RNA", at positions 29 to 523 of the family's 1533-position model. The record is from RNAcentral.